Non-coding RNA from Gossypium raimondii (Peruvian cotton), 87 nucleotides. The record is from Rfam. NCBI's taxonomy places the organism in Eukaryota, Viridiplantae, Streptophyta, Magnoliopsida, Malvales, Malvaceae.
CACGUCAGCGUGACCUGCUAACGUGGAAGGAUAUCGCUUCCUCAAGGACGCGAUUUCCUUCCACGUUAGCAGGUCGCGCUGACGUGG